RNAcentral lists this ribosomal RNA (400 nucleotides) under uncultured bacterium. RNAcentral's name for it is "bacterial SSU rRNA". It matches the Rfam family "Bacterial small subunit ribosomal RNA", at positions 355 to 746 of the family's 1533-position model. The record is from RNAcentral.
UCGAGAAUCAUUCGCAAUGGGCGAAAGCCUGACGAUGCGACGCCGUGUGAGCGAUGAAGGCCUUCGGGUUGUAAAGCUCUUUCGCUUGGGAACAAGAGAAGCUGGCUAAAAUCCAGUGGAUUUGAGGGUACCAGGUAAAGAAGCACCGGCUAACUCCGUGCCAGCAGCUGCGGUAAUACGGAGGGUGCAAGCAUUAAUCGGAUUUAUUGGGCGUAAAGGGCGCGUAGGCGGGAAGAUAAAGUCAGAUGUGAAAUCCUAGGGCUCAACCUUAGAACAGCAUUUGAAACUGGCUUCCUAGAGGGUAGAAGGAGAAAACGGAAUUCCACAAGUAGCGGUGAAAUGCGUAGAUAUGUGGAAGAACACCGGUGGCGAAGGCGGUUUUCUAUUUUAUACCUGACGC